This 254-nucleotide ribosomal RNA is filed under the name uncultured bacterium. Its description in RNAcentral is "partial 16S ribosomal RNA". It matches the Rfam family "Bacterial small subunit ribosomal RNA", at positions 524 to 776 of the family's 1533-position model. The record is from RNAcentral.
GACGGAGGGGGCGAGCGUUGUUCGGAAUUAUUGGGCGUAAAGGGCGCGUAGGCUGAUCGUUAAGUCUGGUGUGAAAUGUUCACCGCUCACCGGGGACACGCCACUGGAAACUGACGAUCUGGAGUAUGGAAGAGGCACAUGGAAUUCUGGGUGUAGCGGUGGAAUGCGUAGAUAUCCAGAAGAACACCGGUGGCGAAGGCGGUGUGCUGGUCCAUUACUGACGCUGAGGCGCGAAAGCCAGGGGAGCAAACGGG